RNAcentral lists this ribosomal RNA (465 nucleotides) under uncultured bacterium. Its description in RNAcentral is "partial 16S ribosomal RNA". It matches the Rfam family "Bacterial small subunit ribosomal RNA", at positions 338 to 795 of the family's 1533-position model. The record is from RNAcentral.
CCUACGGGGGACAGCAGUGGGGAAUAUUGCGCAAUGGGCGAAAGCCUGACGCAGCGACGCCGCGUGAGGGAUGAAGGUCUUCGGAUCGUAAACCUCUGUCAGCAGGGAAGAACGGUCACUGUGCUAAUCAGCAGUGCAUUGACGGUACCUGCAAAGGAAGCACCGGCUAACUCCGUGCCAGCAGCCGCGGUAAUACGGAGGGUGCGAGCGUUAAUCGGAAUUACGGGGCGGAAAGGGCUCGUAGGCGGUAUGUCAAGUCAAGGGUGAAAUCCCCGGGCUCAACGUGGGAACUGCCUUUGAAACUGGGCAACUGGAGUGUGUGAGAGGAUAGUGGAAUUCCAGGUGUAGGGGUGAAAUCCGUAGAUAUCUGGAGGAACAUCAGUGGCGAAGGCGACUAUCUGGCACAUAACUGACGCUGAGGAGCGAAAGCGUGGGUAGCAAACAGGAUUAGAUACCCCAGUAGUC